Molecule: ribosomal RNA, 1470 nt
Filed under: metagenome
Description: bacterial SSU rRNA
Rfam family: Bacterial small subunit ribosomal RNA
Source: RNAcentral
AGAGUUUGAUCCUGGCUCAGGACGAACGCUGGCGGCACGCUUAACACAUGCAAGUCGAACGAGAGAAGAGGAGCUUGCUUUUCUGAUCUAGUGGCGGACGGGUGAGUAACACGUGAGCAAUCUGCCUUUCAGAGGGGGAUACCGAUUGGAAACGAUCGUUAAUACCGCAUAACAUAAUUGAACCGCAUGAUUUGAUUAUCAAAGAUUUAUCGCUGAAAGAUGAGCUCGCGUCUGAUUAGCUAGUUGGUAAGGUAACGGCUUACCAAGGCGACGAUCAGUAGCCGGACUGAGAGGUUGAUCGGCCACAUUGGGACUGAGACACGGCCCAGACUCCUACGGGAGGCAGCAGUGGGGAAUAUUGCACAAUGGAGGAAACUCUGAUGCAGCGAUGCCGCGUGAGGGAAGAAGGUUUUAGGAUUGUAAACCUCUGUCUUCAGGGACGAAAAAAGACGGUACCUGAGGAGGAAGCUCCGGCUAACUACGUGCCAGCAGCCGCGGUAAUACGUAGGGAGCGAGCGUUGUCCGGAAUUACUGGGUGUAAAGGGAGCGUAGGCGGGAUCGCAAGUCAGAUGUGAAAACUAUGGGCUUAACCCAUAAACUGCAUUUGAAACUGUGGUUCUUGAGUGAAGUAGAGGUAAGCGGAAUUCCUAGUGUAGCGGUGAAAUGCGUAGAUAUUAGGAGGAACAUCAGUGGCGAAGGCGGCUUACUGGGCUUUAACUGACGCUGAGGCUCGAAAGCGUGGGGAGCAAACAGGAUUAGAUACCCUGGUAGUCCACGCCGUAAACGAUGAUUACUAGGUGUGGGGGGACUGACCCCUUCCGUGCCGCAGCAAACGCAAUAAGUAAUCCACCUGGGGAGUACGACCGCAAGGUUGAAACUCAAAGGAAUUGACGGGGGCCCGCACAAGCAGUGGAGUAUGUGGAUUAAUUCGAAGCAACGCGAAGAACCUUACCAGGUCUUGACAUCGUAUGCAUAGCUCAGAGAUGAGUGAAAUCUCUUCGGAGACAUAUAGACAGGUGGUGCAUGGUUGUCGUCAGCUCGUGUCGUGAGAUGUUGGGUUAAGUCCCGCAACGAGCGCAACCCUUACUGUUAGUUGCUACGCAAGAGCACUCUAGCAGGACUGCCGUUGACAAAACGGAGGAAGGUGGGGAUGACGUCAAAUCAUCAUGCCCCUUAUGACCUGGGCCUCACACGUACUACAAUGGCUGUCAACAGAGGGAAGCAAAGCCGCGAGGUGGAGCGAACCCCUAAAAGCAGUCUUAGUUCGGAUUGUAGGCUGCAACCCGCCUACAUGAAGUCGGAAUUGCUAGUAAUCGCAGAUCAGCAUGCUGCGGUGAAUACGUUCCCGGGCCUUGUACACACCGCCCGUCACGCCAUGGGAGUCGGUAACACCCGAAGCCUGUAGUCUAACCGCAAGGAGGACGCAGUCGAAGGUGGGAUUGAUGACUGGGGUGAAGUCGAAACAAGGUA